This 460-nucleotide ribosomal RNA is filed under the name uncultured bacterium. Its description in RNAcentral is "partial 16S ribosomal RNA". It matches the Rfam family "Bacterial small subunit ribosomal RNA", at positions 338 to 795 of the family's 1533-position model. The record is from RNAcentral.
CCUACGGGAGGCAGCAGUGAGGAAUAUUGGUCAAUGGACGAGAGUCUGAACCAGCCAAGUAGCGUGAAGGAUGACUGCCCUAUGGGUUGUAAACUUCUUUUAUAUGGGAAUAAAAUGUUCCACGUGUGGGAUUUUGUAUGUACCAUAUGAAUAAGAGUCGGCUAACUCCGUGCCAGCAGCCGCGGUAAUACGGAGGAUCCGAGCGUUAUCCGGAUUUAUUGGGUUUAAAGGGAGCGUAGGUGGAUUGUUAAGUCAGUUGUGAAAGUUUGCGGCUCAACCGUAAAAUUGCAGUUGAAACUGGCAGUCUUGAGUACAGUAGAGGUGGGCGGAAUUCGUGGUGUAGCGGUGAAAUGCUUAGAUAUCACGAAGAACUCCGAUUGCGAAGGCAGUUCACUGGACUGCAACUGACACUGAGGCUCGAAAGUGUGGGUAUCAAACAGGAUUAGAUACCCCAGUAGUC